GCUAGAGCUUGUCUGGUUUCACACGUUGGAUGAGUGUCAUUCUUCCAGGUGGAUGAGCUGUGUGCUCCUGGAGAGGUCCGUCUAGCAUCUACACGCAAGUGCAUUUCUCCUGAGCGAUACGACUGCUCUCCUUCUUGUGGGCCUGCAGGUGGAGGGAUCAAUGCAGAGCUGGGCAUAUGUCACUGCAAGCAGUACGUCUCUGCUGAGGAGCUCUGCGACCAGCUGUGUUUGCUGAAAGCCCCACGGAUCUCCUUGGGGUUCGGCAUCAAUAGGGAGCUGCUUCUGAGGAUGAAUGAUGGAGAGGUGAGGGAAGUGGCAAACGUUCUGGGCCCAGAUGAACAUGUGCAGAAAAGCCAGCGGGUGCAUUUGGUUCUGUUUAGUCCUGGUGGAGUGCUGGGUUUUAUUGUCUCCAGCACAGAUGUUCUGGAUGCAUUUCUCACGGGAGAUUUUUCAUCCGAUCCGUUGCUACACAAAAGUCGUCGCAUCCCGAGGACUUCCUCCAAAGAUAGCCAUACCUUGCCCCUCAUUCCUAACCCGGUGGUGUGUUUGGAAGCAGGAGACACGAUCCUUUUCCAGCUUAGCAUCAAUUCCCACAAUCGUGCGUCCAGCCAUUACCCUGUUUAUCAGAAGCAGCAUCUAUAUAACAGCAACCCAAGCUGGGAUUUUGGACCCUUCCGAAGGCUAGACCACCUCAUCCAGGAGACUCAACUCAACAUCUCCUGGUUUGCCCAUGUUUUCCUGGAGUCUGGGACAUAUGUUUUCAGGGACAGGACCAUCCAGGAACACUUUCUGAUUGUGACUGUGAAUGAAGCAAAUGUGGGCUGUGACCCCAGAAAUGUGUCCUUCCAGCCUUCUUCUGUGUUCCAGCUGGCCAGACAUGGGGUUUUGAAGCAGCAGGAUCUGAACUUAGCUCCUAACUGGGCUGCUAUCACAGUGGUUCUCUUUGUUCUGGGCUUCCUAAUUGUGAUGCUGACAACCCUGGCUAUAGUGCUUCAGCCUGCUGUGCCCGUCACUAGCCCCCUGAAGAGCUGGAAGCCGCGAUGGAGGAGCCUGGGCGAGCCACACAUCCCACCAGAGUACAUCCUCCUUAAAGACAGCCUUCAGUUCUAUCAGACGGUUGGUCCUCAUGGUUCUGGAGCAGAUACUGGCUUUGGAGAGAAAGGAGCUGAGCCUAAUGCAGAAAAGCGUUUUACUCUGAGGGUUCUGGAGGAUUUCAGCGUUCGCACCCUGUACGAUAAGCUGGAAGAUCAGAAUUUGCACCUGGCAUCUCAGCUGGCCAAGCACAGGAUGGACGUGUUGGUGUUCUACAACGGAAUCAGCCAGCAGAUGCAAAGUCUCACGGACAUGGUGCAAGCGCUGGACCCUGAAAGCCUGAAAAUCUUUGCCAGGCAAAAGAUUUGUGAUCAUAAGCCUGCAGAGAGCAGCUGGGCAGCAGCGGGCCUUGAACAAUGUGGUGAACAUUGCAGCAACAACUUCCAAGCAGGUGCUCUGUGGCAAGAGGCAACAGAAUUAAUGAAAGCUCUGGAAAUGCUGCUUGGGAACGCUCUGUACAAGAACGUAGCUGUGAAACGAGAGAUGGAGCAGAAGGUCCAAGGACAGGAUACGGUGGCAGUUGUACCCUCACCGGGCAGCCUGGACAGCGAAAUUAAAUCGGAAGUAGUGGAAGGGCAGGAUCAUGAGCUGCCUCAGCUAAGUGAGCUCUUCAGUAGGACUGAUGCUUUUUUCAGCUUCCUCAGACAUGAAGAACAUGGUUUAGAUCCGCAUUUGGCUUAUCUGACUGAGUUGGAGGUGGAGGGCCUGAUAGCAGCUUCCCCCCUCGCCAAGACCCUGUGUGACAUCAAGCAAGCUUUGGUGAAUCUGCAGCAACGUUCAGACCUUCUUAAUCCAGCCAGCAACCAUCAAACAAGCGUGGGAAGCUCAGCCCUCUUCUGA
This 1932-nucleotide long non-coding RNA is filed under the name Calidris pugnax (ruff). RNAcentral's name for it is "lncRNA (ENSCPUG00000014072.1)". Lineage: Eukaryota; Metazoa; Chordata; Aves; Charadriiformes; Scolopacidae. The record is from RNAcentral.